AUUGAACGCUGGCGGCAGGCUUAACACAUGCAAGUCGAGCGGGGUGAUGGUGCUUGCACUAUCACUUAGCGGCGGACGGGUGAGUAAUGCUUAGGAAUCUGCCUAUUAGUGGGGGACAACAUCUCGAAAGGGAUGCUAAUACCGCAUACGUCCUGCUGGAGAAAGCAGGGGCUCACUUGUGACCUUGCGCUGAUAGAUGAGCCUAAGUCGGAUUAGCCAGUUGGUGGGGCAAAGGCCUACCAAGGCGACGAUCUGUAGCGGGUCUGGGAGGAUGAUCCGCCACACUGGGACUGAGACACGGCCCAGAAUCCUACGGGAGGCAGCAGUGGGGAAUAUUGGACAAUGGGGGGAACCCUGAUCCAGCCAUGCCGCGUGUGUGAAGAAGGCCUUAUGGUUGUAAAGCACUUUAAGCGAGGAGGAGGCUCUUUUGGUUAAUACCCAAGAUGAGUGGACGUUACUCGCAGAAUAAGCACCGGCUAACUCUGUGCCAGCCGCCGCGGUAA
This 503-nucleotide ribosomal RNA is filed under the name uncultured bacterium. Its description in RNAcentral is "partial 16S ribosomal RNA". It matches the Rfam family "Bacterial small subunit ribosomal RNA", at positions 30 to 523 of the family's 1533-position model. The record is from RNAcentral.